AAACUGCGAUAAGUAGCGUGAAUUGCAGACGCUUUGAACGUUAAACUUUCGAACGCACAUUGCGCCGUAGGAGUCCUACCCUACGGCACAUCUGGUUGAGGGUCGUGAUCAAACACAGCCGUAUAGUAGCUGGAAUAUAACCAAUUGGUGAAUCAUGGUUCGGCCCACCCGUACUCGGGCCGUACGUGUUUUGCCAUAGUGCUAUAGAGGAAGACUGAGAACUCUUCAGAGUUUUCGGUUGCCUGCCACUCGGACGGGCUAUCAGCUGAUGCGAUAGAUUCCGGCCUUAGGGUAUCAUACUACGCUUUCGUAUAUACUUUUCGGCGUCUGGAAUACAGCUGGUUGGUUUCGUACGUGCUUGGUGAAUGUUUUGGAUCGCUUUACCGACCUCAACUCAGGU
This 400-nucleotide unclassified non-coding RNA is filed under the name uncultured fungus. RNAcentral's name for it is "sequence contains ITS1". The stretch from base 1 to 105 matches the Rfam family "5.8S ribosomal RNA", at positions 50 to 154 of the family's 154-position model. Lineage: Eukaryota; Fungi. The record is from RNAcentral.